This 253-nucleotide ribosomal RNA is filed under the name uncultured bacterium. Its description in RNAcentral is "partial 16S ribosomal RNA". It matches the Rfam family "Bacterial small subunit ribosomal RNA", at positions 524 to 776 of the family's 1533-position model. The record is from RNAcentral.
UACAGAGGUCUCAAGCGUUGUUCGGAUUCAUUGGGCGUAAAGGGCGCGUAGGCGGCGAGGUAAGUCGGGUGUGAAAUCUCAGAGCUCAACUCUGAAACUGCACUCGAUACUGCUUUGCUAGAGGACUGGAGAGGAGAUUGGAAUUCACGGUGUAGCAGUGAAAUGCGUAGAGAUCGUGAGGAGGACCAGUGGCGAAGGCGGAUCUCUGGACAGUUCCUGACGCUGAGGCGCGAAGGCCAGGGGAGCAAACGGG